AAUCAACGCUGGCGGCGUGCCUAACACAUGCAAGUCGCACGAGAAAGGGACUUCGGUCUUGAGUAAAGUGGCGCACGGGUGAGUAACACGUGACUAAUCUACCCUCGAGUGGGGAAUAACUGAGAGAAAUCUUAGCUAAUACCGCAUAAUACUUACGAGUCAAAGCAGCAAUGCGCUUGGGGAGGAGGUCGCGGCCGAUUAGCUAGUUGGCGGGGUAAUGGCCCACCAAGGCGAUGAUCGGUAUCCGGCCUGAGAGGGCGCACGGACACACUGGAACUGAAACACGGUCCAGACUCCUACGGGGGGCAGCAGUGGGGAAUUUUGCGCAAUGGGGGAAACCCUGACGCAGCAACGCCGCGUGGAGGAUGAAGUAUCUUGGUACGUAAACUCCUUUCGAUGGGGAAGAUAAUGACGGUACCCGUAGAAGAAGCCCCGGCUAACUUCGUGCCAGCAGCCGCGGUAAUACGAGGGGGGCAAGCGUUGUUCGGAAUUAUUGGGCGUAAAGGGUGCGUAGGCGGUUUGACAAGUCAUCUGUGAAAUCUAUGGGCUCAACCCAUAGUCUGCAGGCGAAACUGUCG
This 578-nucleotide ribosomal RNA is filed under the name uncultured bacterium. RNAcentral describes it as "bacterial SSU rRNA". It matches the Rfam family "Bacterial small subunit ribosomal RNA", at positions 28 to 638 of the family's 1533-position model. The record is from RNAcentral.